RNAcentral lists this unclassified non-coding RNA (520 nucleotides) under uncultured Glomus. Its description in RNAcentral is "SSU rRNA". It matches the Rfam family "Eukaryotic small subunit ribosomal RNA", at positions 569 to 1091 of the family's 1831-position model. The record is from RNAcentral. Lineage: Eukaryota; Fungi; Glomeromycota; Glomeromycetes; Glomerales; Glomeraceae.
AGCAGCCGCGGUAAUUCCAGCUCCAAUAGCGUAUAUUAAAGUUGCUGCAGUUAAAAAGCUCGUAGUUGAAUUUCGGGACCAUCAUGUCGGUCGUGCCUCGGUACGUACUGGCAUUGUUGGUUUCUACCUUCUGACGAACCAUGAUGUCAUUUAUUUGGUGUCGUGGGAAAUCAGGACUGUUACUUUGAAAAAUUAGAGUGUUUAAAGCAGGCUCCCGCUUGAAUACAUUAGUAUGGAAUAAUGAAAUAGGACGUUUGAUUCUAUUUUGUUGGUUUCUAGGAUCGACGUAAUGAUUAAUAGGGAUAGUUGGGGGCAUUAGUAUUCAAUUGUCAGAGGUGAAAUUCUUGGAUUUAUUGAAGACUAACUACUGCGAAAGCAUUUGCCAAGGAUGUUUUCAUUAAUCAAGAACGAAAGUUAGGGGAUCGAAGACGAUCAGAUACCGUCGUAGUCUUAACCAUAAACUAUGCCGACUAGGGAUCGGAUGAUGUUAAUUUUUUAAUGUACUCAUUCGGCGCCUUAA